This 252-nucleotide ribosomal RNA is filed under the name uncultured bacterium. Its description in RNAcentral is "partial 16S ribosomal RNA". It matches the Rfam family "Bacterial small subunit ribosomal RNA", at positions 524 to 776 of the family's 1533-position model. The record is from RNAcentral.
UACGUAGGUGGCUAGCGUUAUCCGGAAUUACUGGGCGUAAAGGGUGCGUAGGUGGUUUCUUAAGUCAGAGGUGAAAGGCUACGGCUCAACCGUAGUAAGCCUUUGAGACUGGGGAACUUGAGUGCAGGAGAGGAGAGUGGAAUUCCUAGUGUAGCGGUGAAAUGCGUAGAUAUUAGGAGGAACACCAGUUGCGAAGGCGGCUCUCUGGACUGUAACUGACACUGAGGCACGAAAGCGUGGGGAGCAAACAGG